Molecule: ribosomal RNA, 582 nt
Filed under: uncultured bacterium
Lineage: Bacteria
Description: bacterial SSU rRNA
Rfam family: Bacterial small subunit ribosomal RNA
Source: RNAcentral
AGUGGCAGACGGCUUAGUAACGCGUGGGUAUCUACCUAGAGGUUUGGAACAACUAUUGGAAACGAUAGCUAAUACCAAAUAUUCCCUAAGGGGGAAAGAUUUAUCGCCUUUAGAUGAGCCCGCGUCGGAUUAGCUUGUUGGUAGGGUAAAGGCCUACCAAGGCUACGAUCCGUAGCUGGUCUGAGAGGAUGAUCAGCAAGAUUGGGACUGAGACACGGCCCAGACUCCUACGGGAGGCAGCAGUGGGGAAUAUUGCGCAAUGGGGGAAACCCUGACGCAGCGAUGCCGCGUGAGUGAAGAAGGCCUUAGGGUUGUAAAACUCUUUCACCGGUGAAGAUAAUGACGGUAGCCGGAGAAGAAGCCCCGGCUAACUCCGUGCCAGCAGCCGCGGUAAUACGGAGGGGGCUAACGUUGUUCGGAAUUACUGGGCGUAAAGCGCGCGUAGGCGGAUUAGACAGUUGAGGGUGAAAUCCCGGAGCUUAACUCCGGAACUGCCUUCAAUACUACUAAUCUUGAGUUCGGAAGAGGUGAGUGGAAUUCCUAGUGUAGAGGUGAAAUUCGUAGAUAUUAGGAAGAACAUCA